Molecule: unclassified non-coding RNA, 443 nt
Filed under: Hevea brasiliensis (rubber tree)
Lineage: Eukaryota; Viridiplantae; Streptophyta; Magnoliopsida; Malpighiales; Euphorbiaceae
Source: RNAcentral
GAGCGGAAAAAUAAUUGAAUUACAUUCAACGUAGCAGAGGAAUAUACUAACAUUAACAUAGUGAUACCCAAAAAAAUAUAUCUAAAAAAAAAAACUAUGGUUGUGAAUACCAGUUUCUCAUAUUCAGUCGUACAGCAGUUUUGCUGAUUGAGUUCUUGCUGUUUUGCUCUCAUUCUUCAAAACUUUCUCAACAGACUGCUCAUUUUUUGAUAUAGCUUUUGCCACUGCUUUCAUCUUUCGAACAUUUUUUGAUCUCUUCAUUGGUCUUCCCUUCACCUUUCUAUUAGGAAACCCAGAAGCUGAUUUUUGAACUACAGACUCUGAAGUAUCCAUUGCUUGAGGAACAUCUGAGACGGUGGGCUCCGUGAUGUCCAUUGAAACGGCGCCGUUCUUCUUCUUUUUGUUUCUGUUCUUCGCCAUGGCCGACUCUGAGAGGGAGUUUG